Non-coding RNA from Bos taurus (domestic cattle), 73 nucleotides. The record is from Rfam. NCBI's taxonomy places the organism in Eukaryota, Metazoa, Chordata, Mammalia, Artiodactyla, Bovidae.
UCCCUGGCAGUCCAGGGGUUAGGACUCAGCACUUUCACUGUUGAGGGUCCGGGUUCAAUCCCUGGCCAGGGAA